Molecule: ribosomal RNA, 238 nt
Filed under: uncultured bacterium
Lineage: Bacteria
Description: partial 16S ribosomal RNA
Rfam family: Bacterial small subunit ribosomal RNA
Source: RNAcentral
GAUCCUGGCUCAGGAUGAACGCUGGCGGCGUGCUUAACACAUGCAAGUCGAACGAAGCAAUUUAGCGGAAGUUUUCGGAUGGAAGCUGGAUUGACUGAGUGGCGGACGGGUGAGUAACGCGUAUGCAACCUGCCCGAUACCGGGGUAUAGCCCAUGGAAACGUGGAUUAACACCCCAUAGUACUUUUAUCCUGCAUGGGAUGUGAGUUAAAUGUUCAAGGUAUCGGAUGGGCAUGCGU